CGCGCAGGCGGUCUUUUAAGUCUGAUGUGAAAGCCUUCGGCUUAACCGGAGAAGUGCAUCGGAAACUGGGAGACUUGAGUGCAGAAGAGGACAGUGGAACUCCAUGUGUAGCGGUGAGAUGCGUAGAUAUAUGGAAGAACACCAGUGGCGAAGGCGGCUGUCUGGUCUGUAACUGACGCUGAGGCUCGAAAGCAUGGGUAGCGAACA
RNAcentral lists this ribosomal RNA (207 nucleotides) under uncultured bacterium. RNAcentral describes it as "partial 16S ribosomal RNA". It matches the Rfam family "Bacterial small subunit ribosomal RNA", at positions 568 to 774 of the family's 1533-position model. The record is from RNAcentral.